This 425-nucleotide long non-coding RNA is filed under the name Astyanax mexicanus (Mexican tetra). Its description in RNAcentral is "lncRNA (ENSAMXG00005011877.1)". The record is from RNAcentral. Lineage: Eukaryota; Metazoa; Chordata; Actinopteri; Characiformes; Acestrorhamphidae.
ACUUUAUUCUUUAUGAGUUAGCAUAAAAAAUACAGUAUAAUACUUUAUUUAUAUACGUACUGUUUCUUUAAUUAUCAGGGUUGCACCCAGGUUGCCAAAUAUGGGCACAGGAUGCAGACUGCAGUAUCACUCAUGACUUCAGUGGUCUAUCUGUGUCAAGAGAAAAACAUCUGUCUUUAUCAGAUCAGCAGAGCAUCGACUACAUCUCCGCUGCUGUUUUCUACUGAAUCUGGAGCAGUUUGUGUUUCUGCAGCUGGUGAAAAGCUUCAAGCACAGCAGAGAAAUCUCACCAUGGAUUAUGAUCAGUACUCUGACCAAUACAUUCAAGAACAUGACAUUGGGUCUGAAAGUCCUCAACGUCUGCCAAUCAGAGAGGUCAUCUUCCUUUUCUUUGCUGAGUGUUCUGGUUGGGCAGCUCUGUUUUG